UUACCGAAAAUGUUGCCAAAUUAUUUCGUGCUAUUAGCGGACACUAGGAGACGAAAUUUUCGAGAAAUGUUGGAAUUACUUUACUGUACCGUUACUAAUUGUUUCAAUAUGAAAUGUAUGGGCGUGAACAAUUUAAUCGUCGGUAUUUUCUAGUUUAUUUCAGUAUUAAAAACGCAUUUCCUUGGACUUGUCUGUUUGAAAUAUUCUUGUUGUUUUUUUUUCGUCUAUAAAUAUGGCCUUGGCCCUAACCGUCGAUAAAGGAGCGUCUAAAAAUACCCAAUAUAUUUUAAUAAGAUUGAUGACGUCGCCAACGAAGUUAUGUGGUUCGGGAAAUAUUAUCGAUAAAUCCUGUUUAAUUAUUAUUGGUUAUCUGUUUGGUUAUUUCUAAGGAAAUGGUUAUAAACUUUAUUAAUAUUUAA
Anthonomus grandis grandis is the source of this 419-nucleotide long non-coding RNA. RefSeq lists it as uncharacterized. The record is from RefSeq and is a predicted model, not a curated record. NCBI's taxonomy places the organism in Eukaryota, Metazoa, Arthropoda, Insecta, Coleoptera, Curculionidae. The transcript has 2 exons.